UUAAAUUGAUUUUUAAUUGAUUUAUUGUAAAUAAAUUGUGUUGAGUUAUUUUUGUUGACUUGUUGAGUUUGACUUUUGUUGUUGGGCCUUAGUCAAGGUUGACUUGACUUUGUUGUAUUAAAAUCAUUGAAUUUAGGGGAUUAAUGAAAUGUAUAUUUCAUCUCCCAAACUGAAUGAAUGAUUUUAAUUUGAUAAAAGUUCUCCCAUGACCAAUUUGUGUUUGUC
This 225-nucleotide long non-coding RNA is filed under the name Lathyrus oleraceus (garden pea). Its description in RNAcentral is "Pisum sativum (pea) long non-coding RNA (PSAT_LNC026735)". The record is from RNAcentral. Lineage: Eukaryota; Viridiplantae; Streptophyta; Magnoliopsida; Fabales; Fabaceae.